CUCUCUCUCUCUCUCUCUCUCACUACAACCUCCGUUUACACGACAAAAGCAUAUAGUUACCCUUUUCUCGACUUUCCGGCGAUGCAAUGACACCGUCGUUUACUUCCGAAAACUCUAAAGUACCAGAUUUGUUCUACUUCGUGGAUGAGUUCAAGCUUAUCUUCAAGUUUCUCCUUAACAGUUAUGACGUUUUCCUAAACUUUAAUACCGAUUCUCCAUGUAUAGACCGGAACCGAACCGUGAAGUGAUUAUAUAUCCAUUACCAUAACCAAAACUCUGUGAAAGGAAUUAUUUGAUGAACGUUCACAAUGGAGUCUUCUUCAAGUAAAAACAUAUUUAUCUCACAAAAUAAGAAUUAAACGAAGUUGAUUAAGAAAAUCAAACAAAGUUAUAUCGGUCUUGUUUGUAAUCAAGUUCGUUUAGGGUGGUUAUAUAUGGACUUGUUCUCAAAGUGCACGAUUAUGGUUACGGACUUGUGAUUAUAAGUUCGUACUUGUGAACGAACUUUUCACAAUGUUGACCGGACUUAUUUUUCAGAAGUUAACAUAUCGUUUAAAGUUUGUUUUGAAGUAGGAAUGGUUAACUUAGGGUUGCUUUAUAAAUUGAUAUUAGAAACCUCGAGUGUUGUCAAACCCAGAACCAAACCAUAUACAUAUGGGUCGGUUGGGUUGUUAACGGGUAUUGUAGGAUGGGUUCAUAGGUUUCCAAUGAGCCGUGAAGUGAUUAUCCAUUACCAUAACCUUAACUCUACAAACUAUGGGUUCUACGUAUGGGUUUAAUGGUACGGGAUUUUGGUUAACUAUACUUUGUUUGUUUUCCGAAGACAAAUUAUGAAAUCUCUAAUCAAUGAAGAAUACACAUCAAAGGUUUCAAAUAAAAAUACCAGGGAUCUUACUUGGUUGUUGUCUUUACCCGUGUGGUCAGCAUUAUCUUAAAGAUCUCUGGAGAAGAAUGUCCUGAUCUUGCUCUCUCUCCACAACCCCUAAUUGAAGCCAUAAUUACUAUCCCAAACAAGUUUAAAAUAUCUUGCUCCAAGGUCGGCCUUGAAUCUGUGAAUAUGUUCCCUUUCAUAAGAGUUAGGAUGGGAAAUUAGGAUAAGAAACCCUACAAAUAAAAUGGAUCUGGAAAAUACAUUGUUAGUGGGUUGAAUGAUUUUUAAAAUACGGUUCAAGGAUGUAAUUAAAGAGGCUAUACUCUCCAAUUUCGGUCCCAAAGGGAAUUAAUUCCCAAUACUAUGUGUGAUGGACGUUGGACCUUUUUUUAGAAAAUAGUAAUGCAAAGAUACUAGUGAUAAGUGGGAUUCCUUAACAUCCUCCUGCCGAAAAGGAGACGCAACCUACACCUAAAAAGGGAAGAAAAAUGUGAAAGAGCCUGAUCACGUGAUGUUCAUCGUUGGCUGUGAUACAACGAAUAAAGACCCGAGAUGCAUAAUUAUACGAUACAGAAAAGUUACGGGAAAGGUUGGUAGUUGAAGGUUUUCUAUCACUAGAUUAGACUCCUUCAACUAUAUAAUGGUCCCAAGGUAUAACAAAGAGGAGCAUGAUUCCGGUGGUGAUACGCAGGAAGGACGUCAAGGAAUAGAGUGCUUACGCCACUUGAUAAAGAACAUGACACGAACGUUUUAAAAUUGUACUUUUGUUUGGGAUUUGCCUCUUUUUGUUGAAAUUAGUGAUAUUAUAAGUUA
Molecule: RNA transcript, 1684 nt
Organism: Helianthus annuus (common sunflower)
Lineage: Eukaryota; Viridiplantae; Streptophyta; Magnoliopsida; Asterales; Asteraceae
Exons: 4
Source: RefSeq, a predicted model, not a curated record